This 387-nucleotide unclassified non-coding RNA is filed under the name uncultured Verrucomicrobiae bacterium. RNAcentral describes it as "contains 16S-23S intergenic spacer region". The record is from RNAcentral. Lineage: Bacteria; Pseudomonadati; Verrucomicrobiota; Verrucomicrobiia.
UCCUCGUUUAAGCGAGGCAGUCUGUCCAGAGUGCUUCCCUCUCUCGAGGGAGUGGCAACAGGACACAAGGGUUGCGCUCGUUGCGGGACUUAACCCAACAUCUCACGACACGAGCUGACGACAGCCAUGCAGCACCUGUGCAUGCUCCCCUUGCGGGGUCGUCCCACUUUCAUGGUUCUACCACAUGCAUGUCAAGGCCAGGUAAGGUUCUUCGCGUUGCAUCGAAUUAAGCCACAUACUCCACCGCUUGUGCAGGCCCCCGUCAAUUUCUUUGAGUUUUAAUCUUGCGACCGUACUUCCCAGGCGGCGCAUUUAUCGCGUUAGCUUCGCCACAAACGGGGUCGAUUCCGUUUACAGCAAAUGCGCACCGUUUACAGCCAAGACUAC